Molecule: ribosomal RNA, 707 nt
Filed under: uncultured bacterium
Lineage: Bacteria
Description: partial 16S ribosomal RNA
Rfam family: Bacterial small subunit ribosomal RNA
Source: RNAcentral
AGAGUUUGAUCCUGGCUCAGGAUGAACGCUAGCGGCAGUGCUUAAUACAUGCAAGUCGAGGGGCAGCAGGUCUGUAGCAAUACAGAUGCUGGCGACCGGCAAACGGGUGCGGAACACGUACACAACCUUCCUUUAAGUGGGGAAUAGCCCAGAGAAAUUUGGAUUAAUACCCCGCUAAUAUAUAGAAGUGGCAUCACUUUUAUCUUAUAGCUCCGGCGCUUAAUGAUGGGUGUGCGGCUGAUUAGAUAGUUGGCGGGGUAACGGCCCACCAAGUCUGCGAUCAGUAACUGGUGUGAGAGCACGACCAGUCACACGGGCACUGAGACACGGGCCCGACUCCUACGGGAGGCAGCAGUAAGGAAUAUUGGUCAAUGGACGCAAGUCUGAACCAGCCAUGCCGCGUGAAGGAUGAAGGCCCUCUGGGUUGUAAACUUCUUUNAUCUGGGACGAAAAAAGGGAAUUCUUUCUCACUUGACGGUACCAGAGGAAUAAGCACCGGGCUAACUCCGGUGUCAGCAGNCGGGGNUAAUACGGAGGGUGCCAGGCGUUAUCCGGAUUUNCUGGGUUUAAAGGGUGCCUANGUGGGCACGUNAGUCAGNNGGUGAAAUCUUUCAAGGCUUAACUUNGGAAACUGNCCAUUGAUACUAUUUGUCUUGNGANUUUAUCUGGANGGUAAGCGGNAAUAUGUCAUGUNGCGGGNGAAAUGC